GGGGCCCAAAAAUUUAAUAAAAAACUUUUUUUUAGUCGAUUUAGAAGAGAAUCGAUUCCCUGGGAAGGAAUUAAGGAACGGUAAUAGCAACGCUACGUGGCAUAUUCUGAUUCAUUGAUGCGUAAAUAUAAAAAAGAAAUUUUUUUUCUCCAUUUUCUUCUCUCUUUCUUCCUCGACCAUCUCUCUCUCUUCUCUGUCGAUCCAAACAGCGAAUCGAAACCAAUUCAUCUAGAGACCGCAAAAAUUCAAUUGAUUUACUCACAGAUUCGGCGUUCAGGAAAACUAUCUCGGCUUCAUCGGCCAAGUUCCCUCUUACGAGUGUUUGAACUCUGUCAAAGACGAUUUGGAAUGGAAACGAUCUAUGUAGGCUCCGCAGAAGAUGAGACUUAUGAUCAGCUUCUCGAGAGUGUUCUUGUAGGGCCUGUUAGUGUUGCCAACUACUGGUUCGUUUUGCAGUGUUGGGUCUGAGACUCUGAGUAGGAGAUGGUGAGAAUCUCGCUGCUUUUGUUGUGUCUACUGGUUUCUUUUACUUGUCUUUUCAAUACUUCAUCAGCACAAGCUCCAGGUAAUUCACUGUUUCUCAGUACUUUAUUUUGUUGGUUGUUUCCUUUGUUGAAUUAGGAUUCUAGUUUUAUGUGAUGCAGUUGUUUUGCCUUUUGUUAACAAAUUCAAGAGCUUUGGUCUUUGAGAUUUGUGUGUGUGUUUAGUUGGACUGUAGUGAUUUCUUGUAUGGUGAUUUCGACAACAGUAGCAAUGUGUAUCCCAAAUUCGAUAUAACACCGACUUUGAAGAACUUGAUGUGACUGUUAACUUGUGUGUAGAGAACUUGACCUCUCUGCUAAAGAAUUGCAGGAGCAAGUUAGGAGUGGUGAUGCAAGUGCAACAGAGCUCGGUGCAGUGAUGCUGAGAAGGAAAUUUUACCCUGCAGCCAACAAGUUUUUGCAACAAUCUAUCAAGAAAUGGGUCGUGUUCUUGGAAUAGAAGGGAUCGAGCUUGUUGGCAUCAAUAACCGAAGUCUUGGUAAUACUUUUGUACAUAUUGCUAGUUCCGAUAUACUUUGUCUUAGAACAGUUCACUCAGAAAAUGAAAGUUUUGGUGUUUCAGAAACAUUUAAAGUAGACAUCAAAAAAUGAAAGUUUUGGUGUUCCAAA
Non-coding RNA from Camelina sativa (false flax), 1151 nucleotides. Lineage: Eukaryota; Viridiplantae; Streptophyta; Magnoliopsida; Brassicales; Brassicaceae. The record is from RefSeq and is a predicted model, not a curated record.